GGGGACGUAACAAAGCGACCCAGGAAUGCUUGGGCGUGCCUCCACCCACGCCGGCGUCGGCGGGCGUAUUUCGCCUCACAGUAGGUCGCCGCGACCCGUUGCUUUUGGGGACGUCGAAGGCCCGGACGGAUUGGUACCCUAUCGGCUGGGGAUGCGGCUUCGGCUUCUCCUCUUGUCCGGUGGGCGAAACCGCCGGUGUCCUGGCUGCCCUGCGACGGUCGUAGAGACGAGCCCCUCCCAUUCGUGGGGGGCGGCUCUCGCGGCGUGCAAAAGGUCGGUGAUCCACCCGACCCGUCUUGAAACACGGACCAAGGAGUCUAACAUGUGUGCGAGUCAGUGGGCGCACUAAACCCAGAGGCGUAAUGAAAGUGACACGGGUUCGGCUGUCGCCUCGUGUGGCAGCCGGACUCAGGGCCGAUCCCUCACCGGUUGCCCUCGCCUCUCUCCCGCGUCUCGGUAAGCCGGGUGAGCUAUUUUCCCCGGCCGCUGCUGCGGGGCUCGGGGGGAGGCGGGGUGCGAUGGUGUCCGUCAAAAAGAGCCUGCUGUUGCAGGGGGGCGCAGGCCCGGGACUUGCCAGGACGCCGCGAGACUGUCACUUUGCUGUGAGGCUCCAGGGCCGAUCAGCGGGUCAUGCGUGCAGUCGGCAAGUACCAUGAGCAGACAUGUUGGGACCCGAAAGAUGGUGAACUAUGCCUGGCCAGGAUGAAGCCAGAGGAAACUCUGGUGGAGGUCCGUAGCGAUUCUGACGUGCAAAUCGAUCGUCGGAGCUGGGUAUAGGGGCGA
RNAcentral lists this ribosomal RNA (783 nucleotides) under Procambarus advena. Its description in RNAcentral is "eukaryotic LSU rRNA". The stretch from base 308 to 783 matches the Rfam family "Eukaryotic large subunit ribosomal RNA", at positions 665 to 926 of the family's 3401-position model. The record is from RNAcentral. Lineage: Eukaryota; Metazoa; Arthropoda; Malacostraca; Decapoda; Cambaridae.